Molecule: ribosomal RNA, 474 nt
Filed under: Alcanivoracaceae bacterium HOT10C4
Lineage: Bacteria; Pseudomonadati; Pseudomonadota; Gammaproteobacteria; Oceanospirillales; Alcanivoracaceae
Description: bacterial SSU rRNA
Rfam family: Bacterial small subunit ribosomal RNA
Source: RNAcentral
AGGAUGAUCAGCCACACCGGGACUGAGACACGGCCCGGACUCCUACGGGAGGCAGCAGUGGGGAAUCUUGGACAAUGGGGGCAACCCUGAUCCAGCCAUGCCGCGUGUGUGAAGAAGGCCUUCGGGUUGUAAAGCACUUUCAGUAGGGAGGAAGGCUUACCGCUAAUAACGGUGAGUACUUGACGUUACCUACAGAAGAAGCACCGGCUAAUUUCGUGCCAGCAGCCGCGGUAAUACGAAAGGUGCGAGCGUUAAUCGGAAUUACUGGGCGUAAAGCGCGCGUAGGCGGUUUGUUAAGUCAGAUGUGAAAGCCCCGGGCUCAACCUGGGAAUUGCAUUUGAAACUGGCAGGCUAGAGUGCAGUAGAGGGAGGUGGAAUUUCCGGUGUAGCGGUGAAAUGCGUAGAGAUCGGAAGGAACACCAGUGGCGAAGGCGGCCUCCUGGACUGACACUGACGCUGAGGUGCGAAAGCGUG